AUGCCCCUGGUUAUUUUGAGGAGCUGGUCACAGUCAAUUGUGAGAUUCUCCAUUUGUCUUAUGUUUUUACUGAAUAUAUCAGCUGAACAUCCCUCGGAUCAGCGCAACGCUUCUGAUGUUUUUCUCAAAUCAUUGUCGGAUAUUGUGCAAGAAUUAGAAUUAAAGAGAAGGAUGGCCAGCCCAAUCAAAGGUAAUGAAUUGCCUGAAGUAAGAGAGCCUACUUGUAUGGAGACAAUUUGGCAGCACGUCAGGAAGAACGCUCCCAUUCACACGCUGAUUACAUGGCGGGGUCACUUUCAAUGCUUAACAGAAAUGAUCCAUUCACCAAAAGGUCCCAGUUUAAGGAAGUCAGGAAAUUUAAAAGACAGCUUAGGAACCAAAGCUCUGGUUCUAGGAAGCAAGUUUCUCGGAAGCCAAAUAGGAUGCAUGCUGAGUUCAAUCUUGGUUCUCAGAAUGUUUCACUCUCAGACAAUAUUUCUCCCAGGAAUUCAUCACCCGAUAAUAAGUUGUCAGUAAAUGGUAACAAAAGCAGAAAGGAUGUUCAGUCUUCUAAACCACCCUCUCUCAGCGGACUUCAGCAAGGAAAUACAUGUAAGUUCAUGAAAUCACCAUUACUGCUACAUGCUGGUUACGAUCAAUCAGAAAUUGAAAUUUAGAUGUUGGUGAGGAAUUUUUAAAGCGUGCAAUGUCUCAGCAUCAGCCACCUUGAGCCAUAGCACUUGGUUUCUUUUAUUUGUUUGUAGUACACUUUGUCACCUCGGUGAGUGUGCAGAUGUGAGAGAGUAAGUGUUGUACGGAGAGACUGUGUCUUUAAACUACAGUAGAAACCGCUUAUAACGACACACGUUUAUAACAGAAUCCCGCUUAUAACGUAAUUUUCGCGCGGUCCCGUUUUUUCGCCCAUAAGAACAAUGUAAAUAAUCCCGCAUAUAACAGAAACGCUUAUAAGAGAAACCGCUUAUAACAGAAAAAAUUUUGGUCCCAAAUCGAAAAAAUUCUGAUAUAAACGAGAUUUUCCCAAAAAAUUUCUGUGCGAGUUUCGGAACAUUACGCACUCUAUCGUCACUCGUCAGACGGUUAGUCCGAGAACUCGAUGUAACGGAAAUACCAUCCCGUCAGUGGCGUGGCGUGCUCCGCGAUGUAUCGAUUGAUCUGUCACUUAAACCUAUGGAAAAGGAUCGCUGAACAUCUUAAUAAUACCGAUGACCCCUGAGAGAUUUUAACCGUCCAUCGUUGCCGUACUCACCCAAAAUUUAUUAACAUUAUUUCACGUCACUUUUAAAAAAAAUGACAGCUUGUUGCAUGGAUUAGUUUACUGUUCGAUUAAAACGAAUUUAUUUCUUCCGCUUAUCAUAAAAUUAAGUACUGCUCGCGAUAAAAUUCAAAUUGACUCAAGAAAUCGGGUAUUUAGCUGUCACGAUGCGGCAUCAGGCAGCGUAAAGACGGACCGGACGGACCCAGUUAUCGCGGAGAGGCGCGGGCCGCGCUGUUGCCACAUAGAACUCAAUAUUUACGCGAAAACCGCUUGUAGCAGAAUCCCGCUUAUAACGUAAUAUUCGGCCGAUCCCGAUGCGUUCUGUUAUAUGCGGUUUCUACUGUAUGAACUUUUAUUUUCGCUUCAAUUUUGGAAAUUUUCCAUACAUGUUUUGCAUUUGCAACAUAAUGCAAAGCAGUGUUUCAAUACUGUGGAGGAAGUCCAGCGGGAAUGUGAUAGGGUGUUUGGCAAUUUAGAAAAUAACCGACUUCCAGGGAUUGCUUAAGACUUAGCAAAGACACUUAAAUCACUGAAACAAUGGAGAGGGGCGAAAUUUCAAGGAUGAUUGAAUGACAAGGAAGAAGAGGUAACUGAGUUUUGGCAGCCGUUAAAUUGAUGCUGUAAACAGAGAACUAAAAACCAACGUAUUUGUUAAAGAAAACGAUUUUAAACUAUAGCGUUAUUUUCAUUCAAUUGGACUAUUUUAAGGUCAGGAAGGUUCCAGUCCAGGAUCUUUAGCUGUCAAAUAAUGAAAAAAUUAAUUAUGGUCACUGCAUUUUUGGAAAAAUCCCAUCGGCCAUCUCAGUUUUAGUUGGUGAAAAAUCACUCUUCUCUUUUAAUUUCAGUGCCUAUGAUUUAUGAUCAAGAAAUUGCUGCAGAAGUUCGCAAAAAAUCCCCUCGAAUCAACAAAUAUGUAAAAAAAGAAACAACUAGUCAAGCAAUCUUAUGUCACAAUUCAUGCAACAUGCACGAUCAAACGUCAAAUUGGAAAUUAUCUACUACAAGAAUUUCCCCACAACAGUCAGUUACCAUUCAAAUUUUAUUUUUGGCCCUAAUUUAAAUAACAGAAGUACUGCUUCCCAAAGUAUUUGGGGUAUCACCUCUCUUUUAAAACCAAGUUUCGAUUCUAGUACGUUCUCCUAUGCCCCAAAUAUUCGAGAAGUCAUCAGUGCCAAAAUCUCGAUCUCAGUAAGUCACAUACCUCUUCAUCUACAAUGAGUUC
This 2477-nucleotide long non-coding RNA is filed under the name Bemisia tabaci. Its description in RNAcentral is "lncRNA ENSSSA2NGG001160". The record is from RNAcentral. Lineage: Eukaryota; Metazoa; Arthropoda; Insecta; Hemiptera; Aleyrodidae.